This 73-nucleotide small RNA is filed under the name Arabidopsis thaliana (thale cress). RNAcentral describes it as "ATSL282130". The record is from RNAcentral. Lineage: Eukaryota; Viridiplantae; Streptophyta; Magnoliopsida; Brassicales; Brassicaceae.
AAACAUCUGAAGAAGUUUAUGAUCACCGACGAUUGUUUUCUCUGGCGACGAUCCGACGAUCACACAAUCAUUU